GCACUGGUGGUUCAGUGGUAGAAUUCUCACCUUCCAUACCGGAGGCCUGGGUUUGAUUCCUGGCCAAUGCA
Transfer RNA from Loxodonta africana (African savanna elephant), 71 nucleotides. It matches the Rfam family "tRNA". From Rfam's summary of the family: Transfer RNA (tRNA) molecules are approximately 80 nucleotides in length. Their secondary structure includes four short double-helical elements and three loops (D, anti-codon, and T loops). NCBI's taxonomy places the organism in Eukaryota, Metazoa, Chordata, Mammalia, Proboscidea, Elephantidae. The record is from Rfam.